CCCUUAGAUGUUCUGGGCCGCGCGCGCGCUACAAUGAUGAAUUCAACGAGUUUAUAACCUUGGUUGAAAAGCCUGGGUAAUCUUUUGAACUUUCGUCGUGAUGGGGCUAGACCCUUGCAAUUAUUGGUCUCCAACGAGGAAUUCCUAGUAAACGCAAGUCAUCAGCUUGCAUUGAUUACGUCCCUGCCCUUUGUACACACCGCCCGUCGCACCUACCGAUUGAAUGGUCCGGUGAAAUCUUCGGAUUGAGACUUUGAUUUCUUCACGGAAAACGCUGUUUUAAAAAGUUGAUUAAACCUUACCAUUUAGAGGAAGGUGAAGUCGUAACA
RNAcentral lists this ribosomal RNA (329 nucleotides) under uncultured eukaryote. RNAcentral's name for it is "partial 18S ribosomal RNA". It matches the Rfam family "Eukaryotic small subunit ribosomal RNA", at positions 1470 to 1796 of the family's 1831-position model. The record is from RNAcentral.